GGGAUAUGACUCAGUUGGUAGAGUGCCUGCCUAGCAUGCAGGAGGCUCUGGGUUCAAUCCCUGUCAGCCCC
Molecule: transfer RNA, 71 nt
Filed under: Neotoma lepida (desert woodrat)
Lineage: Eukaryota; Metazoa; Chordata; Mammalia; Rodentia; Cricetidae
Rfam family: tRNA
About the family: Transfer RNA (tRNA) molecules are approximately 80 nucleotides in length.
Source: Rfam by way of RNAcentral